UUCUGCCCUAUGAAUAUUUAAAUGGCUGCAGUAUACUGACUGUGCAAAGGUAGCAUAAUAAUUAGUCAUUUAAUUGUUGACUUGUAUGAAUGAAUACAUGAGAUAUAAAUUUUAUUAAUUUUAUUAUUUUAAUUUUAUUUUUAGGUAAAAAAGCUUAAUUGAUUUUUAGGGACGAUAAGACCCUAUAGAACUUUAUUAAUUUAUUAAGUUAAUUAAAUUUGGUAAUUUAUUUUAAUUAUUUUGUUAUAAUUUUUUUGGUUGGGGUGACAAGUAAAUUUUAACUUUACUUUUUUAAUUCAUUAUUUAUAUGUUUUUUUGAUCCAUUGUUUARAUAAGAAGAAAUAGUUACCUUAGGGAUAACAGCGUAAUUUUAGUGGGGAGUUCUUAUUUAUACUAAAGUUUGCGACCUCGAUGUUGAAUUAAGAUUAGUUCAGGGGGUAG
This 441-nucleotide ribosomal RNA is filed under the name Bothrogonia hamata. RNAcentral's name for it is "partial large subunit ribosomal RNA". The record is from RNAcentral. Lineage: Eukaryota; Metazoa; Arthropoda; Insecta; Hemiptera; Cicadellidae.